GUAGGUGGCAAGCGUUGUCCGGAAUUAUUGGGCGUAAAGCGCGCGCAGGCGGGUCCUUUAAGUCUGAUGUGAAAGCCCACGGGCUCAACCGUGGAGGGUCAUUGGAAACUGGGGGACUUGAGUACAGAAGAGGAAAGCGGAAUUCCAAGUGUAGCGGUGAAAUGCGUAGAGAUUUGGAGGAACACCAGUGGCGAAGGCGGCUUUCUGGUCUGUAACUGACGCUGAGGCGCGAAAGCGUGGGGAGCAAACAGGAUUAGAUACCCUGGUAGUCCACGCCGUAAACGAUGAGUGCUAAGUGUUAGGGGGUUUCCGCCCUUUAGUGCUGCAGCUAACGCAUUAAGCACUCCGCCUGGGGAGUACGGCCGCAAAGGCUG
RNAcentral lists this ribosomal RNA (374 nucleotides) under uncultured organism. RNAcentral describes it as "partial 16S ribosomal RNA". It matches the Rfam family "Bacterial small subunit ribosomal RNA", at positions 527 to 896 of the family's 1533-position model. The record is from RNAcentral.